This 205-nucleotide unclassified non-coding RNA is filed under the name Hevea brasiliensis (rubber tree). The record is from RNAcentral. Lineage: Eukaryota; Viridiplantae; Streptophyta; Magnoliopsida; Malpighiales; Euphorbiaceae.
AGCCUUUGACAACCAAUCUAGCUUUGUAUCGUGGAGAUGAGGAAUUUUCUUCAUGCUUCACCCUAUAGACCCACCGAUUUUUCAAGGCUUUUUUGUCUUUGUGAAGCUUAACCAGUUCAAAAGUAUGAUUAUCGAGCAAAGACUGCAUUUCAUCCUUCAUGGCUGUAACCCAUUCUACCUUCUGCUCACUCUCAAUAGCUUCUUG